CCAGCUGCUGGAACGUAAAAUAUUAAAUGUCAUCGUGGUGCUCUUAUUCUCUCGGAAUAACAGAAUACAUCCAUGCUCCUGUUAACCCCACAAAGGAAGUGUGGAAUUGGUGCAAUCACCCUUGUAAAAUGGAAAGAAAAACAGGCAGCUCUAACUUCAUUGUUUUUAUUCUACAGUCCUUGCAACAGCUUCAGCAACAGUAAGCUCCUCCCAAGCUUUAAAUAUUAGUGAUAGAAAAGAUUAUCUGAGUCUUUCAUGUAGGUGACAAUGGUGUGGUUUUUAUGGUUAGUUUUAGGUUUUGUAUUUUAAUGCUUUUAAAGCAUUUUUAGGAAACUAUUCCCCUGGUCCCCUGCAGUUUUCUGAGGAUUUUGCUCUUGUCUCUCAGUCUGGUUCCUUCCCUCCCAACCUGCCACACUCAGGUGCGUUGUGGACAAUAAGAAUUCUGCCUGUUCUGCAGCUGACUGUAAGGAGCUAAAUGGAGCAAAGUAUGCAUAAAAUACCUAGAACCCUUUACCCUCCAAAAUUCCUUUCCUCCUUUCUGGGGGGAAAAAAGGUAACCUGGAUAUUCUGCUUUUGGAAACUUGGUUGUUCUUUGCACAUUGGUGUUAUUUCAAGAAAAGCAGCAGUAAUGUGCAAAUGCUGAAGUACCAGUCAGCUCUUCAGCUGAGCAUUUUUCAUUCAGAAAAGUAGUAGCACAACAAAAAAAGUGAUGCAGAAAGGUGCCAUCUCUUGUCUGGACUUGUAUGGGACACUAUCGACAGCUGGGUGUUGUUAGGGUCCCCAGCAACUCCUUCCCAGUCCUGAGAGCAGGGAAGAGAUGUUUUCUUGGUCAGGAUUCAUCAUCCUUGAAUUCACAUACCUGCUCCAUGAACGUCACCUGAGCUCAUCAUCCAGGCUCCACUUAGAGUGAGUAAAGAGAAACAGCUCUAGGGGGGAUUCAUUUCAUCCUUCAGGAGAGACCUCCAGCAUAAUUAAUGGUCCUUCUCAGUCCAGUGACUCAGUCUCUAGGAAAGCCUGGGACAGGCAUCGGGGCAGUAGCUGUUGGUGAAGGCGCAUCCUGCCCUGCGGGCUGAGGGAAGUCUGAUGGCUGCAUCUGUCUGGCUGCUCUCCAUUUGGCCCGGCUGCCCUCUGGCUGGAAGGGCGGACCUGUGGCCAUUGUUCUGCCACUGCCCUCCAGAGGCAGGGCAGCUCAGACCUCAUGGACACGGUCAUGUUAGUGGCUGUGAGGAGAAGCUACAUUCCAGUGCCACUGCUGUUUUACUGACCUCGUGAGAGAGUCGAUUUAGAUCCACUUUAUUUGGAGUGAUUAAUUUAAGUUUAAUUAAGGGAUGUCAACUCGGCAGAAUGCUGUCACAGUAUAAUGAUCUCCUGCUGUUGCAUAAAUGUCAAGUCAAAGCUGGGACUUACUUCCAAAGCAGGAGGCAUUUAUCUUGUGACAGUGUUGUAUUAAAAUGACUUACUCCUGCUGCACCAAAUGGUGGGUGUAAAUUGUCUGGCGCUGGUGCAGCAGACUGGAAGGUGCCUUCUGCACAGCCAGCUUUCCUGCAGCGUGGCAGAGGUGUUGGGACACAGCGGGGUGGCUCCUCUGCUCUUUCUGGGGGCUGCUGCUUCUUGAAGGGUGAGAACAAGUUUUACGACAGUCAUCCUCCACCCACUGCUGCUGUCUCAAAACAGAUUCUUCCCUGUCAGUUGUUUGCUACUCUAGGUUUGCUUACCCUUGUAGAGAAGAGGCUGAAAAAGAAAUUUAUUUGGCUGGACCUUAAUCUCUUUGCACCCAGACACUUCUGCUGUGUUCGCCUGUAGCAGUCACGUCUGGUACUAAUUUCUGUUUGAGAGCAAAGCAUGUUUCUAGCUACUGGACUCUCUUCACAUGGUAAAUGAUGGGGCUCAGCUGUCUGAGCAAGACCAGCUUUGGUUUGUUUUUAGAAGGUGCUACCCUUGUCAGAUCUCCAGUGCUGUUUCCAUAUGGACCUAGAAACCUCAAAAAGCAACUUGGCAUCAACUUGUGUUAACCUUGUGACCUCAAGCACUUGUGCUUGUUUCAGACUGAAAUCUAAUGAAAACUGGGAGGACAGGGGGAAGACGUUUUUGAGCUUCUUAGGUGUUUUACCAGUCUGUUAUUUCCUAGAAAAGCUGAACAAGCAAAGAUUGUGCAGAUUUAAAAAAAACAAGAAAAGAUGCAAUGCACUCCACAUUACCAGCGUUACCUGUCCAACACAGUCCCGGGCUCUGAAAGAUUACAGUGCAAAUACUUACAUUGUAUGGGUUGUCUGGAUUAAGUGUUUGAUCGGUCUCUUGUCCCAUUGGCCUGGUUUCAUUAGACUGGUGACCAAGCUCUUGAGUCAGCUGCACAGUGUGUGACCUGGGGUUUACUUCAGAAGCAGCUUCCAAGUCUUCCUCAUCAAAGUUUGAUUCUGAUUGGCGCUUGUUUCUCUUAAUUUCUCUCCUCUGGUUAUCUGAAGAAAUAAUCACCAGAGGACAAACCUACCUUGAGUGUGUCCUUGUAGUUCCCUAAUAUUUCAGUGAUCUCUUUAAAUAUUAAAAAAACGAGAGGGUGGAGGGCAGAGAGAAAGCUGAAAUUGUGCCUUGGCAAACUUGAUGAGCAUCCCCAUUGGAGCUGCUUGCCUUCCUAUGUUGUGUCUGCAGCCAAUACCAGUCCAAAGCAAUGUGAUUCGCCUUUCCCUCCCUCCUUCCGCUCCUUGAGGCAAAAUGGGUGUGAGGAGAUUUGGGGGGUUUUUGACCCAGCCUGUAGUCACUGAUACUAACUCAGCAGCAGUUGCCAGCACUAGCAAGACCAGCUGUGCACAUCUCACUUUCUUAAAAUUAUUUUAUGGCAGGAUGGUACCCUCCUCUCAAGGACAUCUGGUUCUGGACAGCUUUGAUACUGCUCUUUUGUUGCCCAGUGGGAUAUGUAAGAUCAUGAGGAAAGUAGAAAAUACUGGUAGCUUGAAUCCACAGGUGCUCUAAAAUGUGGUAAAUUUUUUUUCACGUGUGUUGUCCCACUCAAGUGUUCUGCUAUUAACUGGACCAAAGAGGAAUAAAUAUUUUCUGAGCCUUCUCCUAGGCCUGGAAGACACCUGGAAGAGUUACCAUCUCCCUGGUGACUCCUGAACACCUUUGCUAAGCUUGCCCAUGGGCCCCAACUUCAGAGCUGGGAUUGCCCCCAGGAUCUCAUAAACCAUCCACUAGCUGCCUGGCUUAAAGUAUCUUCCUUCCACUUCACUGAAUUCCUCUGGGGAAGCAGGGUAGAAAACAGGACAGGCUAUGGUCCCCAGUUCCUGGCCAGUGUUCCUGCGACCUGGUGUCAGCUGCCUACACAUUUGGGGGCAAGUUUAAGCUGUUGUCCUUCUGUAGAAGGAGGCCGACCUCUCUGGAAAUGUUUCAUCUCCUAGCAAGUCACCCACUUGGGCUACACAAAUUGUCUGAGUAAAUACAGGUAUGGAAAAUGUCAUGGGGAUAAACUCUAAACCCACAAUCCUGGCAGAAGCCCAGGAAGCCAUGGGCAAGGGAGGAAAGGAGUCUGGUUUCCCAGAUGUGCUAGUUUUGAUAGCAAACCUGAUGUAGGGGAAGGCAUUUCGAUGAAGGGAAGUAUAACAUACUUUUCAAAUAAAAGAAAUGUUACCUUUGGGAUAUGUUGGUCGCAGCCAGAAGAUUGGAAGAUCCCUGCAAAGCUCUAAAAUUUUGGGGCUUAGGAAGCUGUUAUGCUUGAUAGGUUCAUCUGCAGCCACCCAGAUAAGGGAGUUUUUGUCAAAUCUCACAGGCAUGAUUUCAUCUUCCUGCAAAUAGAAGAGCAUAAAUCCUUUGCUGCUCAGUGAGCAGUCAUGUGCCUGCUCGCUGCUAAUUCUUGAGCACCAAACUGUAAUUAUCUGCUGCAACUAAUACCAAGCAUCCUUCUACGUCAUGAAUAUGAACAGAUUGUGCUGAGCCAAAGCCUGGGGAAAGGCUGUCAUCACUGAAACAAAGGGCAAAGCCACUGUCAGCUUUGCUGGGGCUAUGAUUUCACCCAUCUCACCCUGGAAGGCUUCUGCGCCAUGCAAGAGGGCUGGGUGUCAAAGAUCUUUCAGCCCAAAGCAUCAGAAUUUCAGGUGGUAGAAACCGAAGAUCUACCACCUUCAGCAAAGCAGCAAUGAAAUACCAGCAAAACUCAAGCCCCUCAUCUUUCCUCACGCCCUGUUCUCAUUUGAUGUACUCCCACUAUCUAACUGUAUUUACAAUGUGUGUAAGGGGGGUGAGGGGUGGAAUCUUGUUCAAAAGUUUUAGAGAGGAUUAUAGCUUGAGAACUGCUCCAGCUCCCAGUUCUAAGUCAAUGUGAUCGGCUUGAUUAAAGGUCUUGUUUGGUAAAAGCAAUUCAAUUGACCAAAAGCUUGAAGUGGAAGUUAAAGGAGCCUGCCUUUUUGAAGUGUACCCUGCAGGUUUUUGGUUCAUAUCUUCAAAGUAAUGUAGGAAAAUGCCAGUGAUUGAUUCUUUAAAGUUGUUAGUUCAAAGUAUUAUUUUACAUAAAAUGUGUAAGUAUUUUAUAGCAACGGUGAAAUAUUAAAAGAAAACUAACUUUUGAAUCAUGAAAACAAGCAUGAUUUCAAAGUUAAAAUUCUAAAUUGCUUUCAUAAAAGUCAUCAAAACUUGUUAUAUAACUGACUAGAUCAAUUUAUUCCCUUGAGUUGUUGUUUCUUUAGUGUGUUUAUUGAUUUCUUUUGUAGGUCUCAAGUCAUUUAAGUUUGCUAUCCAAUCUGUCUACUGCUCUUUAUUUAUAUUCUCCCACUUAAGCUUUUAUCAACAUCAGAAAUAUCUGAAUCUAAUUUUCAGAAAUAAAAAUAUCCUUUGUUUCUGUUUGAAAUGA
Long non-coding RNA from Corvus hawaiiensis (hawaiian crow), 4837 nucleotides. RefSeq lists it as uncharacterized. NCBI's taxonomy places the organism in Eukaryota, Metazoa, Chordata, Aves, Passeriformes, Corvidae. The transcript has 2 exons. The record is from RefSeq and is a predicted model, not a curated record.